AACGCUGGCGGCAUGCCUAACACAUGCAAGUCGAACGGCAGCACAGCAGAGCUUGCUCUGUGGGUGGCGAGUGGCGGACGGGUGAGUAAUGCAUCGGGAUCUACCUCAACGUGGGGGAUAACGUAGGGAAACUUACGCUAAUACCGCAUACGUCCUAAGGGAGAAAGCGGGGGACCGUAAGGCCUCGCGCGGUGAGACGAACCGAUGUUCGAUUAGCUAGUUGGUAGGGUAAUGGCCUACCAAGGCGACGAUCGAUAGCUGGUCUGAGAGGAUGAUCAGCCACACUGGAACUGAGACACGGUCCAGACUCCUACGGGAGGCAGCAGUGGGGAAUAUUGGACAAUGGGCGCAAGCCUGAUCCAGCAAUGCCGCGUGUGUGAAGAAGGCCUUCGGGUUGUAAAGCACUUUUAUCAGGAACGAAAUACCACGGGUUAAUAACCUAUGGGGCUGACG
RNAcentral lists this ribosomal RNA (453 nucleotides) under soil bacterium 02G-03. Its description in RNAcentral is "bacterial SSU rRNA". It matches the Rfam family "Bacterial small subunit ribosomal RNA", at positions 32 to 474 of the family's 1533-position model. The record is from RNAcentral.